This 305-nucleotide ribosomal RNA is filed under the name uncultured bacterium. RNAcentral's name for it is "bacterial SSU rRNA". It matches the Rfam family "Bacterial small subunit ribosomal RNA", at positions 335 to 657 of the family's 1533-position model. The record is from RNAcentral.
AAUCCUACGGGAGGCAGCAGUCGGGAAUAUUGCGCAAUGGAGGAAACUCUGACGCAGUGACGCCGCGUAUAGGAAGAAGGUUUUCGGAUUGUAAACUAUUGUCGAUAGGGAAGAAAAAAGACUGUACCUAUCAAGAAAGCUCCGGCUAACUACGUGCCAGCAGCCGCGGUAAUACGUAGGGAGCAAGCGUUAUCCGGAAUUACUGGGUGUAAAGGGCGUGUAGGCGGGCAUGCAAGCCAGAAGUGAAAUCUGGGGCUUAACCCCCAAACUGCUUUUGGAACUGCGUGUCUUGAGUGAUGGAGAGG